RNAcentral lists this ribosomal RNA (912 nucleotides) under uncultured Flavobacteriaceae bacterium. RNAcentral describes it as "bacterial SSU rRNA". It matches the Rfam family "Bacterial small subunit ribosomal RNA", at positions 55 to 973 of the family's 1533-position model. The record is from RNAcentral. Lineage: Bacteria; Pseudomonadati; Bacteroidota; Flavobacteriia; Flavobacteriales; Flavobacteriaceae.
AUGCAAGUCGAGGGGUAUAGUUCUUCGGAACUAGAGACCGGCGCACGGGUGCGUAACGCGUAUGCAAUCUACCUUUCACAAAGGGAUAGCCCAGAGAAAUUUGGAUUAAUACCUUAUAGUAUAACGACUUCGCAUGGAGAUGUUAUUAAAGAUUUAUCGGUGAAGGAUGAGCAUGCAUCCCAUUAGCUAGUUGGUAAGGUAACGGCUUACCAAGGCUACGAUGGGUAGGGGUCCUGAGAGGGAGAUCCCCCACACUGGUACUGAGACACGGACCAGACUCCUACGGGAGGCAGCAGUGAGGAAUAUUGGUCAAUGGGCGCAAGCCUGAACCAGCCAUGCCGCGUGCAGGAUGACGAUCCUAUGGAUUGUAAACUGCUUUUGUACAGGAAGUAACACUCCCUCGUGAGGGAGCUUGACGGUACUGUAAGAAUAAGGAUCGGCUAACUCCGUGCCAGCAGCCGCGGUAAUACGGAGGAUCCAAGCGUUAUCCGGAAUCAUUGGGUUUAAAGGGUCCGUAGGCGGCUUAAUAAGUCAGUGGUGAAAGCCCUACGCUUAACGUAGGAACGGCCAUUGAUACUGCUAGGCUUGAAUUAUUAGGAAGUAACUAGAAUAUGUAGUGUAGCGGUGAAAUGCUUAGAGAUUACAUGGAAUACCAAUUGCGAAGGCAGGUUACUACUAAUGGAUUGACGCUGAUGGACGAAAGCGUGGGUAGCGAACAGGAUUAGAUACCCUGGUAGCCCACGCCGUAAACGAUGGAUACUAGCUGUUGGGAGCAAUCUCAGUGGCUAAGCGAAAGUGAUAAGUAUCCCACCUGGGGAGUACGAACGCAAGUUUGAAACUCAAAGGAAUUGACGGGGGCCCGCACAAGCGGUGGAGCAUGUGGUUUAAUUCGAUGAUACGCGAGGAACCUUA